CCUACGGGAGGCAGCAGUGGGGAAUAUUGGACAAUGGGGGGAACCCUGAUCCAGCGACGCCGCGUGAGUUAAGACGUAUUUCGGUAUGUAAAGCUCUAUCAGCAGGGAAGAAAAUGACGGUACCUGACUAAGAAGCCCCGGCUAACGAGGUGCCAGCCGACGCGGUAAUAUGGAGGGGGCAAGCGUUAUCCGGAUUUACGGGGUGGAAAGGGAGCGGAGACGGUGCAGCAAGUCUGAUGUGAAAGGGCGGGGCCCAACCCCGGGACUGCAUUGGAAACUGUUGAACUGGAGUACAGGAGAGGUAAGCGGAAUUCCUAGUGUAGCGGUGAAAUGCGUAGAUAUUAGGAGGAACACCAGUGGCGAAGGCGGCUUACUGGACUGUAACUGACGUUGAGGCUCGAAAGCGUGGGGAGCAAACAGGAUUAGAUACCCCAGUAGUC
Molecule: ribosomal RNA, 440 nt
Filed under: uncultured bacterium
Lineage: Bacteria
Description: partial 16S ribosomal RNA
Rfam family: Bacterial small subunit ribosomal RNA
Source: RNAcentral